AUUAAAUGCCUUGGUCUACUUUAUUAAAAAAAUUAAUUUAUUCAAAACAUUUUUAAACUUAGUAAAAGUGAUAGAAAGUUAUUAAAUAGGACCUAAGAAAAGUACCGUAAGGGAAUUAAUUUAAUUAAAUCAAAGAAAAAAUUAAUAUUUGUACCUUUUGCAUCAUGGUUUAGCUAGAUACUUAUUUUUUCUAAAAUUUCUCGAAAUCUGAUGAGUUAUUUUUAUUCGGUAUUUUAGUGCCAGAAGAGUAGUUGUAGCAAAAACUUUCUUAGAAAUAAAGAUGGAAAUGAAAUUUUAUUCGUAUCAGAUGAUAGCUAGUUCUUCUAAAAAGGCAUAUAAGUGCUUUAAAAUGGGUUUAAUCUUUAUAAUAUAGAUACAGAGAGUAUCUAAUUUAAUUAGAUUUUUGAGGAUAAGCUCGAAAAUUAAAAUUAUAUUUGCAUUUUAUUCUUAUUAAAAAUUUAGGCUUGAAAAUAGCUACAAUUUUGAGUUUGUUAUAAUUUCAUUAAUUAAUUAAGAAAAUAAUUGGUUUGCUUAAAAUAAAUGAAGAAAACUUUAAUAACUAAAUUAAGCUGAAUUAAUGCUAAAAUGAGUAUUACUCUAAUUUAUUUACUCCUUAACGACUUAUAGGUUAUGGAUAAUAGUUGUUUUUUAAUAUAUAAAUUAUAGAAAGGAACUCGGCAAAAUAUACAUUCUGCCUGUUUAGCAAAAACAUGGCUCCUUGAAAUUUAAUAAUAAGGAGUCGGACCUGCCCAGUGAAUUUUUAACGGCCGCGGUACUCUGACCGUGCAAAGGUAGCAUAAUCAUUUGCCUUAUAAUUGAAGGCUAGUAUGAAUGGUUUGACAUGAAUGUAACUGUCUCUUUAUAAUUUAAUAGAAUUUUAUUUUCAGGUGAAGAAGCCUGUAUUUAAUUAAAAGACAAGAAGACCCUAUCGAGCUUUAAAAAAAUUGGUAGAAUUACAAAUUAAUAUACUUAAAAAAUUUUCUAUUAAAUAUUUUAGUUGGGGCGACUGAGGAACAUAAAAAGCUUCCUUUAAAAAAUGAUUUUAAAUCAUACUAGAAUUGAUCCAAAACAUUUUGAUUAAAGGAAUUAGUUACCGUAGGGAUAACAGCAUUAUCUUUUUUAAGAGCUCAUAUCGAAAAAAAGGUUUGUGACCUCGAUGUUGGACCAGAAUAUCCUAAAGGUGCAGCAGCCUUUAAGGGUUGGUCUGUUCGACCAUUAAAAUUCUACGUGAUCUGAGUUCAGACCGGCGUGAGCCAGGUCAGUUUCUAUCUUUAAUUAUAUAGAUAAGUUUAGUACGAAAGGACCAAUUUAUUAUAAAAUAAUAUUCUUUACUGAUUAAAUUUAAUUGAUAAUUAAAUG
RNAcentral lists this ribosomal RNA (1359 nucleotides) under Tritia tingitana. RNAcentral's name for it is "16S ribosomal RNA". The stretch from base 610 to 1359 matches the Rfam family "Archaeal large subunit ribosomal RNA", at positions 1423 to 2881 of the family's 2987-position model. The record is from RNAcentral. Lineage: Eukaryota; Metazoa; Mollusca; Gastropoda; Neogastropoda; Nassariidae.